This 509-nucleotide long non-coding RNA is filed under the name Rattus norvegicus (Norway rat). RNAcentral's name for it is "long non-coding RNA NONRATT004127". The record is from RNAcentral. Lineage: Eukaryota; Metazoa; Chordata; Mammalia; Rodentia; Muridae.
GGGCCACAUGGAGAAACCCUGUCUUAAAAAGAAACAAGUGCCUGAAUGUGGUGGGAGCAUGCCCUUCUCUCAUCCAGGGUUGAGGGUCUGCCUUACUGGUUCCUGUGCAACAGCUGGCCAGAAGGAGAUGGCAGCCUCUGCUGAGCCUCUGGUUCACUUUCCCAGGUUCUCCAGGGAGCGCUCAUUGAGAGAGGAAUCCUGGGAGUACAGGCGGAAUGAACGAGGGCCCACUGACUGGAGGCUGGAGAACUCCAAUGGCAAGACUGCAUCGCGGAGGUCGGAGGAGAAGGAGGCUGGCGAGAUCUGAAUCUGGUUCAGGCGCUGUAAAUAGUCUGACAAAAGUUCAGCACAGCCUAAAUUACCCUUUAUAUUUGCUGACUACAACUCAUCUUUUGUAGUUAAAAUUUCUAUUGUUUGGCCCUAGCUGUGAGUUUCUAGAUUGUUCAGAGCUGCUUCUGUGUUUGGGGUUAUGUUAUAUAGGAACAAAUAAAUCUGGCGGCUGCCUCCUG